RNAcentral lists this ribosomal RNA (80 nucleotides) under Bacillus cereus. Its description in RNAcentral is "partial 16S ribosomal RNA". It matches the Rfam family "Bacterial small subunit ribosomal RNA", at positions 1 to 83 of the family's 1533-position model. The record is from RNAcentral. Lineage: Bacteria; Bacillati; Bacillota; Bacilli; Caryophanales; Bacillaceae. RNAcentral also lists the same sequence under 4 other names.
UUAUUGGAGAGUUUGAUCCUGGCUCAGGAUGAACGCUGGCGGCGUGCCUAAUACAUGCAAGUCGAGCGAAUGGAUUAAGA